GUUUUAAUAGUUUAAAUAAAACAUUGGUCUUGUAAACCAAAAUUAAGAUUGCCCCCACUUUUAAAACU
RNAcentral lists this transfer RNA (68 nucleotides) under Dictyophorus spumans. Its description in RNAcentral is "tRNA-Thr". It matches the Rfam family "tRNA". From Rfam's summary of the family: Transfer RNA (tRNA) molecules are approximately 80 nucleotides in length. Their secondary structure includes four short double-helical elements and three loops (D, anti-codon, and T loops). Lineage: Eukaryota; Metazoa; Arthropoda; Insecta; Orthoptera; Pyrgomorphidae. The record is from RNAcentral.